GACGAACGCUGGCGGCGUGCUUAACACAUGCAAGUCGAACGGGAUUUAGUAGACAGAAGCCUCGGCUAAAGAUUACUAAUGAGAGUGGCGAACGGGUGAGUAACGCGUGAGCAACCUGCCUAUGACAGUGGGAUAGCCUCGGGAAACCGGGAUUAAUACCGCAUAAAAUCGUAGAAACACAUGUUUCAACGGUCAAAGAUUUAUCGGUCAUAGAUGGGCUCGCGUCUGAUUAGCUAGUUGGUGAGAUAACAGCCCACCAGGGCGACGAUCAGUAGCCGGUCUGAGAGGAUGAACGGCCACAUUGGAACUGAGACACGGUCCAAACUCCUACGGGAGGCAGCAGUGGGGAAUAUUGCACAAUGGGGGAAACCCUGAUGCAGCGACGCCGCGUGAACGAAGAAGGUAUUCGUAUCGUAAAGUUCUGUCCUAUGGGAAGAUAAUGACAGUACCAUAGAAGAAAGCUCCGGCUAAAUACGUG
This 478-nucleotide ribosomal RNA is filed under the name uncultured bacterium. Its description in RNAcentral is "partial 16S ribosomal RNA". It matches the Rfam family "Bacterial small subunit ribosomal RNA", at positions 28 to 507 of the family's 1533-position model. The record is from RNAcentral.